Gasterosteus aculeatus aculeatus (three-spined stickleback) is the source of this 990-nucleotide non-coding RNA. Lineage: Eukaryota; Metazoa; Chordata; Actinopteri; Perciformes; Gasterosteidae. The record is from RefSeq and is a predicted model, not a curated record.
AAAGGUUGCCGUGAAAAAGAAAAAUCUUUCUAAAUACGAGGAGGAGGGAGAAGUGGAUGAUGAGGCGCGUCAUGACACAAAGAACAAGGUACACUACCAGUCUGCAUCCAGUGUGUGUUAUUACAUUGCAAUACAGUAAAGAUAAGUAAGACUUUUAUAAUAAAGUGCAUUACCAGUAGCUGUUACAAGGUAUGACACCAGCACAGUAGUCAACUUUGUCCUCUCUCUUUCUCUCUCCCUCCCAACGGGCCAGAGAAGAGGAGGAGCAUAUUGGGGAUGAAGACGACAAAGUACCAGCCUCAAAGAAAAAGAGCGCUGCUGAAUUUAGAAAGCAACUGGACGAACAGAUGUGGGAGAGAAAAAAAAUUGAACAAAUGCAAAGAAAUUUGCAGGAGUUGCGAAAUGAAGUUCCGUCUCUCAAAAGUGAAAAUGCACAUCUGAAAGAUGUUCUGGAAUGGGAAGCAACCUGAAUGGUACAAAAACAUGUUGCUAAUCUCUUCUGUCCUUAAAAAAACAAAAAACAAGUCAGUCAUAUUCUGUGGAAUGAAUCAUGUUUGUGUGCGGGCAUACCAUCGCUUUUUUACACCUCAAGAAAACAUGAUGUGAUGUGUGUAUAUAUAUAAAAAAAACUCUUGCUUACUCCACCUUCAUUUUACCUGCCUUUCAUAAUAAUUUUGAAAUUUUACUUUAAGGUGGGAAGCCAACCAGAGGGGACGGGGAGCAGCUGGUUGCCCUGGACAAAAUAAAAAAGGCAGCCAUUAUUGCUGAGUAAAUGCAUAAUGUGUUGAGAAGGGAAAACAAAACUUUUAAGACCUUACAAGUUCACCACUUUAACCAUAGCCUACUUGUAUCAAUGUUUAUUAGGCAUCAAUGGAGACUGCAUAAGAUGCUACAUUGAAGAAGUGGCCGGCAGCCAGCCGAGGGCAGAUAGGCACAGCUAUAAAUUCCAAGCUCGCAGUGAUGCGAAGAUCCAUGAAAUUAUUUUUUUUC